RNAcentral lists this ribosomal RNA (431 nucleotides) under uncultured bacterium. RNAcentral describes it as "partial 16S ribosomal RNA". It matches the Rfam family "Bacterial small subunit ribosomal RNA", at positions 29 to 507 of the family's 1533-position model. The record is from RNAcentral.
AACGAACGCUGGCGGCAGGCUUAACACAUGCCAGUCGAACGCCCCGCCAGGGGAGUGGCCGACGGGUGAGUAACGCGUGGGAACAUACCCUUUUCUACGGAAUAGCUCUGGGAAACUGGAAUUAAUACCGUAUACGCCCUACGGGGGAAAGAUUUAUCGGGGAAGGAUUGGCCCGCGUUGGAUUAGCUAGUUGGUGGGGUAAAGGCCUACCAAGGCGACGAUCCAUAGCUGGUCUGAGAGGAUGAUCAGCCACAUUGGGACUGAGACACGGCCCAAACUCCUACGGGAGGCAGCAGUGGGGAAUAUUGGACAAUGGGCGCAAGCCUGAUCCAGCCAUGCCGCGUGAGUGAUGAAGGCCUUAGGGUUGUAAAGCUCUUUCACCGAUGAAGAUAAUGACGGUAGUCGGAGAAGAAGCCCCGGCUAACUUCGUG